AGUCAAUAGAUACCCAGGUAGUCCACGCCGUAAACGAUGAGUACUAGGUGUAGGAGGUAUCGACUCCUUCUGUGCCGCAAGUUAACACAAUAAGUACUCCGCCUGGGAAGUACGGUCGCAAGAUUAAAAACUCAAAGGAAUUGACGGGGGCCCGCACAAGCAGCGGAGCAUGUGGUUUAAUUCGAAGCAACGCGAAGAACCUUACCUAGACUUGACAUCUCCUGAAUAGUGUAGAGAUACAUGAAGCCCUUCGGGGCAGGAAGACAGGUGGUGCAUGGUUGUCGUCAGCUCGUGUCGUGAGAUGUU
Molecule: ribosomal RNA, 306 nt
Filed under: uncultured bacterium
Lineage: Bacteria
Description: bacterial SSU rRNA
Rfam family: Bacterial small subunit ribosomal RNA
Source: RNAcentral